CAUGCGGCUGAGAAAGCAGACAAGAAAGAUCAGAACGACUGCAUAUUUUCUGCACAGUUAAAAUGUCAAUCAUCACAAGAUCAAACUUCAAGUACCAGAGUAAUCCUAAAUCAUCCUGAUUUGUCAAAAGACUACAUAGAACAGUCUAGAGGUGGAAACUGAUAGAUAAUUUGAAGAGGAUCCUGUUAAAGCAGUCAUAAAUAUGUUUCACAAAACAAUGAACACCUUGUUACAGCAUAUCUUGAACAGCCUA
Saccostrea cuccullata (small rock oyster) is the source of this 253-nucleotide long non-coding RNA. RefSeq lists it as uncharacterized. The transcript is spliced from 3 exons. The record is from RefSeq and is a predicted model, not a curated record. NCBI's taxonomy places the organism in Eukaryota, Metazoa, Mollusca, Bivalvia, Ostreida, Ostreidae.